GCCGGGAGGGCGGCUAAUACAACACCCCGCAAGGGGAAAUACGCCCGCCGUCUCUGUGCGGUUCUAGCCUCCCGGCAUCCCCGG
Dokdonella koreensis DS-123 is the source of this 84-nucleotide small RNA. It matches the Rfam family "sRNA-Xcc1". The record is from Rfam. NCBI's taxonomy places the organism in Bacteria, Pseudomonadati, Pseudomonadota, Gammaproteobacteria, Lysobacterales, Rhodanobacteraceae.